Molecule: ribosomal RNA, 497 nt
Filed under: uncultured bacterium
Lineage: Bacteria
Description: partial 16S ribosomal RNA
Rfam family: Bacterial small subunit ribosomal RNA
Source: RNAcentral
ACUCAAAGGAAUUGACGGGGGCCCGCACAAGCGGUGGAACAUGUGGUUCAAUUCGACGCAACGCGAAGAACCUUACCUGGGCUUGAACUGCUGGUGACCAGCGGUGGAAACAUCGCCUUCCCGCAAGGGACACCAGUAGAGGUGCUGCAUGGCUGUCGUCAGCUCGUGCCGUGAGGUGUUGGGUUAAGUCCCGCAACGAGCGCAACCCUUACUCUUAGUUGCCACCCGCAAGGGGGAACUCUAAGAGGACUGCUCCGGAUAACGGAGAGGAAGGUGGGGAUGACGUCAAGUCAGCACGGCCUUUAUGUCCAGGGCUACACACGUGUUACAAUGCACGGUACAGACUGUUGCGAACCCGCGAGGGGGAGCCAAUCGGAAAAACCGUGCUCAGUUCGGAUUGCAGUCUGCAACUCGACUGCAUGAAGCCGGAAUCGCUAGUAAUGGCGUAUCAGAACGACGCCGUGAAUACGUUCCCGGGCCUUGUACACACCGCCCGU